Molecule: ribosomal RNA, 375 nt
Filed under: uncultured bacterium
Lineage: Bacteria
Description: partial 16S ribosomal RNA
Rfam family: Bacterial small subunit ribosomal RNA
Source: RNAcentral
CCUACGGGUGGCAGCAGUCGGGAAUAUUGCGCAAUGGACGAAACUCUGACGCAGUGACGCCGCGUGCAGGAAGAAGGUUUUCGGAUUGUAAACUGCUUUAGACAGGGAAGAAAAAAGACAGUACCUGUAGAAUAAGAACCGGCCAACUACGUGCCAGCAGCCGCGGUAAUACGCAGGGAGCAAGCGUUAUCCGGAUUUAUUGGGGGUAAAGGGUGCGUAGGCGGGGAAGCAAGUUAGUUGUGAAAUCCCUCGGUGUAACGGAGGAACUGCAACUAAAACUGGUUGCCUUGAGUACUGGAGAGGAAAGCGGAAUGCAUGGUGUAGCGGUGAAAUGCGUAGAGAUUAGGAAGAACACCAGUGGCGAAGGCGACUUUC